This 487-nucleotide ribosomal RNA is filed under the name uncultured Turicibacter sp. RNAcentral describes it as "partial 16S ribosomal RNA". The record is from RNAcentral. Lineage: Bacteria; Bacillati; Bacillota; Erysipelotrichia; Erysipelotrichales; Turicibacteraceae.
CACGUAGUUAGCCGUGGCUUUCUCAUAAGGUACCGUCAAUUGAUAGUCAUUUCCUCCUAUCACCUUUCUUCCCUUAUAACAGAAUUUUACAGCCCGAAGGCCUUCUUCAUUCACGCGGCGUUGCUCGGUCAGGCUUUCGCCCAUUGCCGAAGAUUCCCUACUGCUGCCUCCCGUAGGAGUCUGGGCCGUGUCUCAGUCCCAGUGUGGCCGUUCACCCUCUCAGGUCGGCUACGCAUCGUCGCCUUGGUAGGCCUUUACCCCACCAACUAGCUAAUGCGCCGCAGGCUCAUCCAUCAGUGAUGCCAGGAGCAUCUUUAAACUUUCGUCCUAUCCGGUAUUAGCGAUCGUUUCCAAUCGUUGUCCCCGUCUGAUGGGCAGAUCACCUACGUGUUACUCACCCGUUCGCCGCUUCCCACCGAAGUGGUUCGCUCGACUUGCAUGUAUUAGGCACGCCGCCAGCGUUCAUCCUGAGCCAGGAUCAAACUCU